Molecule: long non-coding RNA, 436 nt
Organism: Arabidopsis lyrata subsp. lyrata
Lineage: Eukaryota; Viridiplantae; Streptophyta; Magnoliopsida; Brassicales; Brassicaceae
Exons: 2
Source: RefSeq, a predicted model, not a curated record
GUUAAUGGUGGGAGAUUGAGAAAUGGAAAAUCUUCUCAGGUGUAUGAAAUGACUUUGCAGAAUGGUGGGAGAUACGAAAUUGGAUCUUAGGAAUUUGUUCAAGGGCUGCCAAGGGAGAGGAGAAGAGGAAGGAAGUAGUUGCAGAGGAAUCAGAUGGAGAAGAAUACGGUGGUUUAUACAUGUCAUGUCAUGAAAGAGUUCCAUAUAGUGUGUUAUUCCACAAACUGCAAAUGACUUUCGUGCUAAUUUUUAGUUACUAGUCAUAUGAAUCGUUUAGAAACAAAAAAAGAAGUGGGAGUCAAUAAUGAAAUCAUAAAGGCAAAUCGCUUUUGAUGUCUUAUUAUAGUCUUGAAAUACUAUGUUUAGACAAUAGUGUUUGAUGUGAUUAUGAACUCUUUAAACACCAAUUACACCAAAAUUCACUUUGUUUCUUUUA